CAACAGGAGGAACCGCUAGACGAGAAACUGAAGUACCUGAAUCUAAGGGAAUAUGAAGAAGAAGAAGAAGAUGUGGUCUUGGAGGAGGAUUUGGAGGAGUUAGAGAAGGAUGUUGACUUCAUGGCGAUAGCCCGGGUGCAUACUGCGAGAAAAUUCAGCCAUGGGGCUUUCUAUGGACCGAUGAGAUCUGCAUGGAAUCUUGCACAAGAAGUGGAAUUCAGAGCUAUAGAAGAUAAUGUUUUUCUCUGUCUAGCGGAUUGGGAGAGAGUCAUGCAUGAUGGGCCUUGGAUAUUCUGA
This 297-nucleotide ribosomal RNA is filed under the name Triticum aestivum (bread wheat). RNAcentral describes it as "partial small subunit ribosomal RNA". Lineage: Eukaryota; Viridiplantae; Streptophyta; Magnoliopsida; Poales; Poaceae. The record is from RNAcentral.